UUACUGUCAUUUUUAUCUUAAUAAUUCUCCUUUAAUCUAUUCAGUCCUGUCUCUCUAGCCCUGGCCUUUUUCCUCUGACUCUGAGGUUUCAUCAUGCGUAUUCAGCCAGCAUCUUUCACCUAAAUAAUCCUUCAUUUUCAGAUUCUCAGAAGCAGUGUCUCAGCUGAAAGUCUAAUCCUGACUACUGUCUGUAAUGGCUCCCCAGGAGAACAGCAUUGUUUUUACUGGGCAGCAAUACAUGAGACAGAAGAAUAAUGAAGAUCAAUAAAGUACUGAGAAACCAGAGACUUCCACUGCUGGAGAAAAAAGAAAUGCUCAGGUUGCAGAGAAAAUUAGCACAUUUUGAAUAUCUAGACAAUCUGUCACUUCAUUUUUUCCUUCUGCACAUGAAAAAGAAGAAAGCCUCACAUAAAUUUGUGAAGACACAGUAUACCCUGCAGUGCAUGUUUGUUCACUGGCUUCAUCUGAGCCACUGGAAAACUCCACGUGUCGGAGAAGGCAUUCCUCCCAUUUGACUGAGCCACAGCCACAAAACAAGGAAAGCCUCAAAGCACGGAGAGAAAGUCGUCUGACAAUGCUAUUGCCAUCAACUGUCCCUCCACUGCCAUGAGAAAUCCGAAACACAGUGUCUGCCUGAAGAAGCACAGAGACUGCUAUUUCUUGUAGGCUUUGUGCUCAGUAUUAACAGCAUCUAAUCAAGUUACAGUAAGGAGCUGAAAAUAUCGCUGCAGACUUCAAGAGCAAUGGGGUAGAACACAAAGAUGAAACUGGGAUUAAGCAGCUGGAAUUUAUUCAAAAUACUAGCAAACUUUUUGAGUUGUGGAAUUAAUGGAAUGGAACUGCCUCUCAAGGAUGCAAAACAUUAAAAAGCUUGUAUUAAAUGAUAAAAAUUGAGUCUAGCACACCAUAUUCCUAUCAGACAGUAAUGUAUUUUUCUCUGCAUAAAUGGACUGUGUGAAUUAAGAGGAUUUUCAGUCUAUACUUUCUAAGAUUAUCAGCCUUACUAGUUAUAAGCAAGUAGGGACGUUUUUGUCAUACAAAGACAAAAAGUAGAGAAAAACCUUAGUUUCAUGUGAUAUUUAUUAUUGCUAGAGGAAUCUGCACAAUGUUAAGUACUGCUGUUUUAAAUAUUCAUUAUGGGCUUCCAACAACAAGUUUCCACUCGCUAAGCUUGACUCUUUCAUGAAUGUCUUUCUUGGGUCUUCUGCCCAAAUUCUACUUUCAAUCGGUUCUAAAUAUUAACAGUAUAAACUUUAAUAUACUUUGAAUUCUCAAUCUAUAAAAAAAGUGUAGGAGCCACCAAAGUUCAGAAACUACUUGGGAUAUGGUACGUUAAAAGAACCCCCAGAUUUCUAGAUGGUGGCUACCCUCAGAUUAGCAACAUGGACCAUUUUAGCAGGGGUAUGUCCUGCAGUUCAGCCACCUCAGCUUGGGAAUUCUUUGUGAAUAUAUUUCGUACAUAAUACUUAGGCAUCAUCUUCCAUCAAAUAAUUGAACUGGUGAUAAUCUAUAUCAGUAGUAAUACAUUUAUAUGCAAAUUAAAUUGCAGAAUGCUUAACCUCACUGCCAAAUAAAUUAUCACUGAACUGUAUAAUUUUAUUUCUUGAAGUAUAUAAUCUCUAUGGAAAGUGGAUACAUGUAAACACUGCUUGAUUGUAGUAUAUUCUGCAAAGGUUAUUUCACAGAGAUGAAAACAAGUUCCUUUUGAACCUGUUCUGCCUCAAAGGCAUGCUUUUCUUGCAUUAUCAGUAUGAACAUAUUACUGAAUUUCACUUUUGUUCUUUCAGUUGAAAAAUCUUCAAAUCUUCCUAUGUGUUGGUGCUCUUCCAUUCACUUUUCAGUCCUCUGAUGAUUUUUGUGUAUCUUUUUCAUUGUCAUUGUGUAACAAUCUAAUGAUCACAUCCCAGUCCUGAAAAUUCCACAGACUUAUUUUCCAAAGGGCAUGAAUGUCAGGCUUUUCCUCUAUUAUUCUGUUCUCCUUAAAAAGCCUCCUGAUAUCCUGGAACACAUUUCUGAUAUUUAGUUCAGUUUUUCUAGUUUUCUGCCUUCCAAAAUGUUACAUGUCUACAUGAAUUAUACACCUUA
Molecule: long non-coding RNA, 2085 nt
Organism: Numida meleagris (helmeted guineafowl)
Lineage: Eukaryota; Metazoa; Chordata; Aves; Galliformes; Numididae
Exons: 3
Source: RefSeq, a predicted model, not a curated record